AACACUGAGGCGUGACGACGAGGCACUACGGUGCUGAAGCAACAAAUGCCCUGCUUCCAGGAAAAGCCUCUAAGCAUCAGGUAACAUCAAAUCGUACCCCAAACCGACACAGGUGGUCAGGUAGAGAAUACCAAGGCGCUUGAGAGAACUCGGGUGAAGGAACUAGGCAAAAUGGUGCCGUAACUUCGGGAGAAGGCACGCUGACACGUAGGUGAAGUGAUUUACUCAUGGAGCUGAAGUCAGUCGAAGAUACCAGCUGGCUGCAACUGUUUAUUAAAAACACAGCACUGUGCAAACACGAAAGUGGACGUAUACGGUGUGACGCCUGCCCGGUGCCGGAAGGUUAAUUGAUGGGGUCAGCGCAAGCGAAGCUCCUGAUCGAAGCCCCGGUAAACGGCGGCCGUAACUAUAACGGUCCUAAGGUAGCGAAAUUCCUUGUCGGGUAAGUUCCGACCUGCACGAAUGGCGUAAUGAUGGCCAGGCUGUCUCCACCCGAGACUCAGUGAAAUUGAACUCGCUGUGAAGAUGCAGUGUACCCGCGGCAAGACGGAAAGACCCCGUGAACCUUUACUAUAGCUUGACACUGAACAUUGAGCCUUGAUGUGUAGGAUAGGUGGGAGGCUUUGAAGUGUGGACGCCAGUCUGCAUGGAGCCGACCUUGAAAUACCACCCUUUAAUGUUUGAUGUUCUAACGUGGACCCGUUACCCGGGUUGCGGACAGUGUCUGGUGGGUAGUUUGACUGGGGCGGUCUCCUCCUAAAGAGUAACGGAGGAGCACGAAGGUUGGCUAAUCCUGGUCGGACAUCAGGAGGUUAGUGCAAUGGCAUAAGCCAGCUUGACUGCGAGCGUGACGGCGCGAGCAGGUGCGAAAGCAGGUCAUAGUGAUCCGGUGGUUCUGAAUGGAAGGGCCAUCGCUCAACGGAUAAAAGGUACUCCGGGGAUAACAGGCUGAUACCGCCCAAGAGUUCAUAUCGACGGCGGUGUUUGGCACCUCGAUGUCGGCUCAUCACAUCCUGGGGCUGAAGUAGGUCCCAAGGGUAUGGCUGUUCGCCAUUUAAAGUGGUACGCGAGCUGGGUUUAGAACGUCGUGAGACAGUUCGGUCCCUAUCUGCCGUGGGCGCUGGAGAACUGAGGGGGGCUGCUCCUAGUACGAGAGGACCGGAGUGGACGCAUCACUGGUGUUCGGGUUGUCAUGCCAAUGGCACUGCCCGGUAGCUAAAUGCGGAAGAGAUAAGUGCUGAAAGCAUCUAAGCACGAAACUUGCCCCGAGAUGAGUUCUCCCUGAGACUUAAAGUCUCCUGAAGGAACGUUGAAGACGACGACGUUG
Molecule: ribosomal RNA, 1327 nt
Filed under: Salmonella enterica subsp. enterica serovar Enteritidis
Lineage: Bacteria; Pseudomonadati; Pseudomonadota; Gammaproteobacteria; Enterobacterales; Enterobacteriaceae
Description: partial 23S ribosomal RNA
Rfam family: Bacterial large subunit ribosomal RNA
Source: RNAcentral